RNAcentral lists this ribosomal RNA (465 nucleotides) under Vreelandella stevensii. RNAcentral's name for it is "partial 16S ribosomal RNA". It matches the Rfam family "Bacterial small subunit ribosomal RNA", at positions 338 to 795 of the family's 1533-position model. The record is from RNAcentral. Lineage: Bacteria; Pseudomonadati; Pseudomonadota; Gammaproteobacteria; Oceanospirillales; Halomonadaceae.
CCUACGGGCGGCAGCAGUGGGGAAUAUUGGACAAUGGGGGCAACCCUGAUCCAGCCAUGCCGCGUGUGUGAAGAAGGCCCUCGGGUUGUAAAGCACUUUCAGUGAGGAAGAACGCCUGGUGGUUAUUACCCAUCAGGAAAGACAUCACUCACAGAAGAAGCACCGGCUAACUCCGUGCCAGCAGCCGCGGUAAUACGGAGGGUGCGAGCGUUAAUCGGAAUUACUGGGCGUAAAGCGCGCGUAGGUGGCUUGAUAAGCCGGUUGUGAAAGCCCCGGGCUCAACCUGGGAACGGCAUCCGGAACUGUCAAGCUAGAGGGCAGGAGAGGAAGGUAGAAUUCCCGGUGUAGCGGUGAAAUGCGUAGAGAUCGGGAGGAAUACCAGUGGCGAAGGCGGCCUUCUGGACUGACACUGACACUGAGGUGCGAAAGCGUGGGUAGCAAACAGGAUUAGAUACCCUAGUAGUC